Molecule: ribosomal RNA, 723 nt
Filed under: Gammarus nipponensis
Lineage: Eukaryota; Metazoa; Arthropoda; Malacostraca; Amphipoda; Gammaridae
Description: 12S ribosomal RNA
Source: RNAcentral
AAAUUUAAGUAGUUUAUAAUAGUAUUAAUUUAUUUUAUUAAUGUAAACACACACCCCUAUAGGGGUGUGUGUUUACAUAAAAAAAAAAAAUGUUUAGCGUGAGCUGGGAGCUUUGGGCUAACUUGAUUGAACAUAUAAGUUAAUUUGUAGUAGUUCAAAGUAUUAUUAUUUAGUAAGGUUGAAAUAGCGGGUAAAUUGGUGCCAGCAUCUGCGGUUAGACUAAAGCUGUAAUUAAAGCUAAGUAGGCAGGCUACUUAAGGUGUGUGGUAGAUAAAUGUGUAGUGAAAUAUAAUUGAAUAAAAGACACUAAUGCUAAAGUCAGGUGUGAGUUAGACCAGGAUUAGAUACCCUGUUAUUUUGGGUCAGGCCUAAGUAUUAAGGUUAAAAUUAUAAGGCUUGGCGGCUAUUUUUUUUUAGGGGGAUUUGCUAAUAAUCGAUGACCCUCGAUAGCUCUCACCCUGUUAAAAUUAUGUACAUCGUCAUUUAGUUAGUUUAGGAAUAAUAAUUAAGGUAGUUAGUUGAUAAGGCUAGAUCAAGGUGCAGAGUGAAAGGGUUAUAGUUAGUCACAAUAUUAAUUAAUAUAUUUUAGCAUAGGUGUGAGUGCGGUAGAAGUGGACUUAACAGUAAUUAUUAAUAUUUGAUCAAGUUUGAUUAGUGUACAAAUUGCCCGUCAAUCUCUUGGAGAUAAGUCGAAACAAAGUAGAAAAACCGGAAGGUUUUUCU